Long non-coding RNA from Spinacia oleracea (spinach), 639 nucleotides. RefSeq lists it as uncharacterized. The transcript has 5 exons. The record is from RefSeq and is a predicted model, not a curated record. Lineage: Eukaryota; Viridiplantae; Streptophyta; Magnoliopsida; Caryophyllales; Amaranthaceae.
UUCUAAAUUAUUGCAAAAAAAGGAAAAUAUUUCUAAAAUCAGAGAAUCUCUCUCCUCGAUUCUUCUCCCUCUUCCUCUUCAGCUUCAGCUUCGUUUUCUCUCUCCUCUGUCGUCGCCGUCGCUUCUUCACCGCCGGAGAUCGAUAUCCCCCACCUCCGUUGAUCUCUACCCUCUUCCAGAUCAGACUAAUUCAGGCCACUGUUAGCGUACAACUGUGAUAACUCUUUGAAAGGCCUUAUAUUUAUUGCCGGGAAGAGAAUUGUAAACUAACCACUGGAGAUGGAGCACAUGAUUUUCAAGGGAGGCCUGUGGAAUUAAUUUGGAGACCCUGUCUUUUUAUUUGUGAACGCUCAAGCAGGCGACCCAUCUGGCAAAGGCAUCAAAGACUCGGCGUUCAAAUUCAGCACUGGUCUUCAAUAAUACGAGGGAGCGGCCUUUCACCUUUGAGGAGCUAGAUGAAGUUCGAGAAAUGUUGGCAAACUUCAUUACCAGUGAUUGUUUUUGAUAUUUUCUUGUACUGAAUCUUAAAUUAUGGAUGCUAGCUAGUGUUUCAUAUGAUUGCAAUGUAAUCGACUUUCAUAUUUACAAUUAUAUACUAUUUAUUUUAAUUAUCUAUAUAAUUGGAUACUUUUUGUAUGA